UCAGAAGGCCUUAUCGAACGCCAGCCCCUG
This 30-nucleotide non-coding RNA is filed under the name Rattus norvegicus (Norway rat). The record is from RNAcentral. Lineage: Eukaryota; Metazoa; Chordata; Mammalia; Rodentia; Muridae.